UCCCUGGUGGUGUAGUGGCUAAGGAUCCUGUGCUCUCACCCCUGCAGCCUGGGUUCAAUUCCCAGGCAGGGAA
Molecule: non-coding RNA, 73 nt
Organism: Pangasius djambal
Lineage: Eukaryota; Metazoa; Chordata; Actinopteri; Siluriformes; Pangasiidae
Source: the annotation of a GenBank genome assembly